CUGCUGCCUCCCGUAGGAGUCUGGUCCGUGUCUCAGUACCAGUGUGGGGGACCUUCCUCUCAGAACCCCUACGCAUCGUCGGUUAGGUGGGCCGUUACCCCGCCUACUGCCUAAUGCGCCGCAUGCCCAUCCCUGUCCGGCCGAAGCCUUUCCUGCCUCCGGGAUGCCCCGGUGGCAUGUACGCGGGUUUAGCCCGCCUUUCGGCGGGUUGUCCCCCUGACAGGGGCAGGUUGCAUACGUGUUACUCACCCGUGCGCCGGUCGCCGGCGGAGAAG
RNAcentral lists this ribosomal RNA (275 nucleotides) under uncultured bacterium. RNAcentral describes it as "partial 16S ribosomal RNA". The record is from RNAcentral.